GGCUGGUCUCAGAUAGCAUCAAUUCUCCCAUGUAGAUGCACCUUGUGAUCUUUAUUAUGUGUUAUGUGUAUCCCCAAAAAACACAAUCCUAACUUUUCCUCCUUGUUUCCUUAGUGGUGAUCAAAUGCUCUCGGGCUCCCCUAGUACUACUGGAACCAGAAUCGGGAGUCCGUAUCGACUCAGUAUCCACGACGCCAACCAGCCGCAACCUGCGUGAGUAACAUCUCGUAUACGGAGCCACUUUCUUCCUUCUCCUCUUGUGUUGGACUGUGUGUCCCUACAAAGUCAAAGAGGUAUUUUGGAAAGUUCCUCUCUCCCACCAAAAAAUAAUACUUUCAUGUUUCGAGUGAUUCUGACUCAUCCCAUAUA
RNAcentral lists this long non-coding RNA (369 nucleotides) under Anolis carolinensis (green anole). Its description in RNAcentral is "lncRNA (ENSACAG00000034934.1)". The record is from RNAcentral. Lineage: Eukaryota; Metazoa; Chordata; Lepidosauria; Squamata; Anolidae.